CCUACGGGAGGCAGCAGUGAGGAAUAUUGGUCAAUGGACGCAAGUCUGAACCAGCCAUGCCGCGUGCAGGAAGACGGCUCUAUGAGUUGUAAACUGCUUUUGUACGAGGGUAAACGCAGAUACGCGUAUCUGUCUGAAAGUAUCGUACGAAUAAGGAUCGGCUAACUCCGUGCCAGCAGACGCGGGAAUACGGAGGAUUCAAGCGUUAUCCGGAUUUAUUGGGUUUAAAGGGUGCGUAGGCGGUCGGAUAAGUUAGAGGUGAAAUCCCGAGGCUCAACUUCGGAAUUGCCUCGGAUACUGUUCGGCUAGAGAGUAGUUGCGGUAGGCGGAAUGUAUGGUGUAGCGGUGAAAUGCUUAGAGAGCAUACAGAACACCGAUUGCGAAGGCAGCUUACCAAGCUACUUCUGACGUUGAGGCACGAAAGCGUGGGGAGCAAACAGGAUUAGAUACCCGGGUAGUC
Molecule: ribosomal RNA, 460 nt
Filed under: uncultured bacterium
Lineage: Bacteria
Description: partial 16S ribosomal RNA
Rfam family: Bacterial small subunit ribosomal RNA
Source: RNAcentral